Molecule: long non-coding RNA, 445 nt
Filed under: Brassica napus (rape)
Lineage: Eukaryota; Viridiplantae; Streptophyta; Magnoliopsida; Brassicales; Brassicaceae
Description: long non-coding RNA (BNAP_LNC017669)
Source: RNAcentral
UUUGGUUUGAUCUAGAGAGCGUAAACAUGAAUCCUCGUUUCUACCAAUGUUUCUUAAACCCCAUUUUUACCUUAGUUAUCACCAUUUUUUUUAAUAAAGACCACAAUUUUCUUAUUGUUUGUUGCUUGUAGUGCUUCUCACGUUUAUCAGAAGCCUUGUAAAUCUGCUUUAAGGUAAGCUUCUUGCUUUUCUUCCUCAAAUUAUCACCACCGUAUCCAAUAAACAUUUCCUGGCAAAUUGAAAAUAAAUUUAGUCUAUUUCAAAAGUUAUAUUGAUCACACAUAUUACUUAAAAACUAAUUAUUAAAAGUAGGUUAGAGGAGAUAAAGAUUCAUGAAAAGUCAACAUGAUGCAAAUUUAGAGUUGAGUAUUGAAGAGUUUCAGAGUAUUUAGUCUUACUAACCUGUAUUUAAAUUUUUAUCUGCCAACUUUGCAUAAAGCUUCAC